Hyaena hyaena (striped hyena) is the source of this 107-nucleotide small nuclear RNA. The record is from RefSeq and is a predicted model, not a curated record. Lineage: Eukaryota; Metazoa; Chordata; Mammalia; Carnivora; Hyaenidae.
AUGCUGACUUUAGCAGCACAUAUAUUGAAAUUGAAAUGAUACAGAGAAGAUUAACAUGGCCCGUGUGCAAGGAUGACUCACAAAUUCAUGAAGCAUUCCAUAUUUUU